RNAcentral lists this ribosomal RNA (333 nucleotides) under Xylella fastidiosa subsp. multiplex. RNAcentral describes it as "partial 23S ribosomal RNA". It matches the Rfam family "Bacterial large subunit ribosomal RNA", at positions 1943 to 2276 of the family's 2925-position model. Lineage: Bacteria; Pseudomonadati; Pseudomonadota; Gammaproteobacteria; Lysobacterales; Lysobacteraceae. The record is from RNAcentral.
UAACCAUCCUAAGGUAGCGAAAUUCCUUGUCGGGUAAGUUCCGACCUGCACGAAUGGCGUAACGACUUCUCGACUGUCUCAACCAUAGGCCCGGUGAAAUUGCACUACGAGUAAAGAUGCUCGUUUCGCGCAGCAGGACGGAAAGACCCCGGGACCUUUACUACAGUUUGAUAUUGGUGUUCGGUUCGGCUUGUGUAGGAUAGCUGGGAGACUGUGAACUCUGGACGCCAGUUCAGGGGGAGUCGUCGUUGAAAUACCAGUCUGGUCGUGCUGGAUGUCUAACCUGGGUCCGUGAUCCGGAUCAGGGACAGUGUCUGAUGGGUAGUUUAACUG